CAUAUAAGUAAGUGGUGGAAGAAAACAUAAACAUGAUUCUUUAAGUAAUGGCGAAUGAACAAAGACAUAGUCAUUUUGAAAAUUGUGGUCCGUGAUCAUGAAUUGUAAUAUUCAAAAUGCAUUGCUAACAAAAUUGCAUAUGUUAGUUUAUUGGAAAGAACAUUACAAAGGGUGAAAAUCCCAUGUGUCAUGUGUAUGUUUUGUGUACAGUGUGCAUUUCAUGAUUCACAUUCAUUGACAAUUGAAUGUAAAGCGAAUGGUAAACUUCAUUUAAACAUAAAUAUGUUGUUGAAAACUUAUAUCGAACAAAUACCAUGAGGGAAAUGUGAAAAGGAUUUUGAAAAGAAAAUUAAAAGAGCUUACAAUUGCUGGAUUGAUAAGCAAACAAAACACACAUGUGUAUGUGCAAGAUUGUUGUCAUGUUGUGCAAUUCAUGCAAAUUAACAUUGCUUUGGUUUUUGUGUAAUUUUGUCAGCUUUGGAAUUGAGAAUGAUUUUUUUGAGUGUGAAUGGAUUGUUGUUUGUUAACAAAGGAAUGCACUUUCAAAAUCAUUGUUUGAUUUGUCAAUCAAGUUUGUGGCGUGUGUUGUGUGUCAAAUUUAAUUAUAUAAUUCACAAAACACAUGAAGUUUGAGCUAUUAAGGCAAUUCUUGUUUUGUUUGACCCGUCUUGAAC
RNAcentral lists this ribosomal RNA (674 nucleotides) under Coolia monotis. RNAcentral describes it as "LSU rRNA". It matches the Rfam family "Eukaryotic large subunit ribosomal RNA", at positions 39 to 659 of the family's 3401-position model. Lineage: Eukaryota; Dinophyceae; Peridiniales; Ostreopsidaceae. The record is from RNAcentral.